RNAcentral lists this ribosomal RNA (306 nucleotides) under uncultured bacterium. RNAcentral's name for it is "partial 16S ribosomal RNA". It matches the Rfam family "Bacterial small subunit ribosomal RNA", at positions 507 to 807 of the family's 1533-position model. The record is from RNAcentral.
GACAGCAGCCGCCGCGGGAAUACAGAGGGUGCGAGCGUUAAUCGGAUUUACUGGGCGUAAAGCGUGCGUAGGCGGCUUCUUAAGUCGGAUGUGAAAUCCCUGAGCUUAACUUAGGAAUUGCAUUCGAUACUGGGAAGCUAGAGUAUGGGAGAGGAUGGUAGAAUUCCAGGUGUAGCGGUGAAAUGCGUAGAGAUCUGGAGGAAUACCGAUGGCGAAGGCAGCCAUCUGGCCUAAUACUGACGCUGAGGUACGAAAGCAUGGGGAGCAAACAGGAUUAGAUACCCCUGUAGUCCCUGUCUCUUAUAC